UACGUGGGGUGCAAGCGUUGUUCGGAAUUACUGGGCGUAAAGGGCUCGUAGGCGGCCAACUAAGUCCGACGUGAAAUCCCCAGGCUUAACCUGGGAACUGCGUCGGAUACUGGAUGGCUUGAAUUCGGGAGAGGGAUGCAGAAUUCCAGGUGUAGCGGUGAAAUGCGUAGAUAUCUGGAGGAAUACCGGUGGCGAAGGCGGCAUCCUGGACCGACAUUGACGCUGAGGAGCGAAAGCUAGGGGAGCAAACGGG
RNAcentral lists this ribosomal RNA (253 nucleotides) under uncultured bacterium. Its description in RNAcentral is "partial 16S ribosomal RNA". It matches the Rfam family "Bacterial small subunit ribosomal RNA", at positions 524 to 776 of the family's 1533-position model. The record is from RNAcentral.